UAAGCCCAAUUAGGUUGGCUCGUCGUCUGGCUGCCAUGGCGAGCUUUGUAUGUGGUUCGAAGUUGUAGCUGCACGCGACUCCUUAAGCUUCUCUUGCAGGUCUGAGCGAACCAACUUCAGGUUCCAUUUAUGUCCGAAAGUAUGAUUAAGAUGGCAAACCAUGUGAGUCAGUCUUCUCAACCGUUAACCCCUGAGAGAGAGUUGGCAUUGUCUUUCAAAUUCAAGAGAGCAUGGGGCUUUUUUCUUUGCUUUUGUGAGUCGCUACAUGCACUAACUCAAGGACCAAAAAUGGUUGGAGAUUGUAACCAUCCAAGUUCACCGCUAGCACGUACUGUCCUCUUUGGCCUUUUCCUUUCGAGCUCUCCUCUCCAACCGAUGCGGAAUCUCACAAUCCACCUCCUUACAGGGCCUAGUGUUCUCGCCGGUACUCUUCCCUUCUUCAAUCGAUGUGGGACCCUCCAAUCCACCACCCUUUGGGGUCCAACGUCCUUGCUGGCACACCGCCUCGUGUCCACUCCUUUUGAGGCUCAUCCUCCUCGCUGGCACAUUACUCAAUGGCCGACUUUGAGACCAUUUGUAAUAGUCCAACUCCACCACUAGUAGAUAUUGUCCUCCUCGAACUCUCUCAAAGUUUUUUAAGUGUACAAUGAGUCAAUUUCAUUUUUAUUCUUUACCCGUUUGGCAAGUAGCCCACAUUCCCACACCCUAACAUUCUACUAUAACUAUAUUCCAAACCCAGCAGCUGAUUCUAUUCCUAUGGAUGGAAAGGAAGUGUUUUGAGAA
This is a long non-coding RNA of Cucurbita maxima (winter squash), 783 nucleotides long. RefSeq lists it as uncharacterized. Lineage: Eukaryota; Viridiplantae; Streptophyta; Magnoliopsida; Cucurbitales; Cucurbitaceae. The record is from RefSeq and is a predicted model, not a curated record. The transcript is spliced from 3 exons.